GAUCUCUGCCUACCUGAGGCCUUCCAAAGAUGUGCUGGAAAUGGAGAACAAAGCGUGGCCACGGAUCUGCAAAUGCCAAACUCUCUCGCCACCCAAAGGCAUCUUCUCAUCUGGAUCCUGAGUGUUGUCUUGGCUGGGAGCACAUGGGAACCAAGCAGCCUGGGAAAGGUCCUUUGGCACAGUGUGAAGGGCCCUGCUCCAAAGCCUGCAUGAAAGAUGGGAAUUCUCCCAUUGAUUUUUGCUUUGGCUCCAGAACAGACAGCUUGAGAGCAACACAGAUGUGUGAUUUUUAUCCCUUCAAGCCCUGACCUU
Molecule: non-coding RNA, 312 nt
Organism: Coturnix japonica (Japanese quail)
Lineage: Eukaryota; Metazoa; Chordata; Aves; Galliformes; Phasianidae
Source: RefSeq, a predicted model, not a curated record